CAGUAGCCACGGUAAUACGAAGGGUGCAAGCGUUAAUCGGAAUUACUGGGCGUAAAGCGUGCGUAGGCGGUUUGUUAAGUCUGUUGUGAAAUCCCCGGGCUCAACCUGGGAAUGGCAAUGGAUACUGGCAAGCUAGAGUGUGUCAGAGGAUGGUGGAAUUCCCGGUGUAGCGGUGAAAUGCGUAGAGAUCGGGAGGAACAUCAGUGGCGAAGGCGGCUCACUGGUCCAUUACUGACGCUGAGGUGCGAAAGCGUGGGGAGCAAACAGGAUUAGAUACCCCGGUAGUCCCUGUCUCUUAUAC
This 301-nucleotide ribosomal RNA is filed under the name uncultured bacterium. RNAcentral's name for it is "partial 16S ribosomal RNA". It matches the Rfam family "Bacterial small subunit ribosomal RNA", at positions 509 to 807 of the family's 1533-position model. The record is from RNAcentral.